Molecule: unclassified non-coding RNA, 1861 nt
Filed under: Megachile rotundata (alfalfa leafcutting bee)
Lineage: Eukaryota; Metazoa; Arthropoda; Insecta; Hymenoptera; Megachilidae
Description: wD repeat-containing protein 92, transcript variant X2
Source: RNAcentral
GCGGAAUAUUAGUUUUCAACACUGUGCGUCAGAUAGCGCACGAGUUUGUUUAUAGAAACUGCAAAUGAUGUUUUGUUAGGUAUCGCAUUUACUUAGGAACUGACAUUGCCUCAUCGUGAGUUUGAUUCUUAAAACAUGGAGAAACUUGAGAAACCACAGAUAAUUUGUCACAUUGAAAAAUCAGUAAAUUAUUCAUUGUUUGACACCAAAUGGAUUCCUUGCAGUGCAAAGUUUGUGGUUAUGGGUUCACGACCUCGUGGUAGCGGUAUUAUACAAAUUUAUGAAUUGUCCAGUGGCGAAUUAAAACUCAUUAAAGAUAUCGAAAGGUCACAGCCUGUAAAAUGUGGCACUUUCAAAGCUUCCAGUUUAAAAGACAGAUACUUGGCCACUGGAGACUUUCAGGGUAAACUUAACAUCUAUAACUUAGAAGAUCCUUCAAUACCAAUCUAUAGAGCUAAUGCUCAUAGCGAGAUCAUAAACAGUAUUGAUGGUGUGGCUGGACAAAGCAUUGGAUGCGGUGCACCUGAAUUAGUAACUGGUUCCAGAGAUGGAAGUGUUAAGGUUUGGGAUCCUAGGCAAAAGGGUCGUCCUGUAGCUGUAAUGGAACCCAAAGAAGGUGAAAGUCGUAGAGAUUGUUGGACAGUUACAUUUGGAAACUCGUAUAACUCAGAGGAAAGAGUUGUAGCUGCUGGUUACGACAAUGGUGAUGUAAAAAUGUUUGAUUUGAAAGCAAUGUCUGUCCUAUGGGAAAGUAAUCUCAAAAAUGGAGUUUGCAGUCUUGAGUUUGACAGGAAAGAUAUUCCAUUGAACAAAUUAGUAGCAACCACUUUAGAAUCGAAAUUCUAUGUAUUUGAUUUAAAAACACAGCAUCCCAAAAAAGGAUUCCCUUAUCUCAUUGAAAAAGCACAUGAUUCAACUGUAUGGUUGGUUAGACAUUUACCUCAGAAUCGUGAAAUAUUUGUCACUUGUGGUGGAGCUGGAAGCCUUUGUCUUUGGAAAUACAAUUAUCCAGAGAAAAGAAAAAUAGCAGAUGCAGAUGGCAUAGAUCAAGGUGUAAUUGGGAAUCUAUCUCUCUUACAAAAUACAACUAUUUCAUCUCAACCAGUUAGUUCCUUGGAUUGGAGUCCAGACAAACAAGGACUGGCUGUUUGUUCCGCAUUUGAUCAGUGUAUACGUGUUAUAAUUACUACUAAACUUAAUACUUAUUAAGAAAAUAGGUAAAAUCUAUAUUCCACACAUUUAAAUUAGUCUACAAUAAGAACAUAACAGAUCAUAAAUGUUGCAGAUGGCAAGGAAAACAAAAAUAUUCUUUUCUUGUAAAUAAUAUCAAUCUUGAUAAUUUUAUUUAUCAAAUGAAACUGAAGUUCAUACAAUAAAACAUUGAAAAAAUUAUUUCGAAUUUAAGCACAAUUAUUUGAACAUGGAUAAAACCUAUUUCUAUCAUUGGUUAUCGACCUAUCAAUAAAAAGGAACUUUCAUCUUUCUCCACAAGAUGGAACAACAUUCUCAUCACCGAUACAGUUGUAUAUUUUGCUUCUGCAUCUAGCUAAGUGUUGCACAACUUCGUACAGGCGGCCAGAUAAAAGCGAAUUAUAUGUCAUUGGGCCAAUCUAUUUAGGAUCAGACCCUUAUUAAGUGGCAGCCAUCUUUGCAGCACAAUGUGUUAUGCAAUAUCGAUCCGCCAUGUUGGCUGCCUUCUAGACAAGCCCACGCCAAAUGCACUUAUACAUUGUUCGAGCCAGCUUUAACUAGCUUGCAUUCAGCCAUACAAGGAUAUACUUACUUAACUUAAAAAUAUAUUUUUAUAUAAAAAAUAAAGUAGUCAAGAAUUGCAGGAAUGAAGGAACUUCUUUACUUGGAA